CACCAGCCUACAAACAAAGGAAUAAAAUAAGUUAUGGAUAAUAAUAUAGUCAGUUCCAAAUUUAUUUUCGUAAAUAUAAUAGUGAGAUUUUUCUGUCGUUAAUACAAUUGCCAUUUAUUACUGACUAGCUGAGCCGGCAGACUUCGUAUUGCCUCAAUCGAUAAAUAAAAGACCUAAACUUUUGUAUAAAAUAAACUUAAAACAAACAAAAGGAAUUUUGAUAUUUAUCUACCUUUUAAACCUUCUCUGGACUUCUAGAAAUAAUUCAAGACUAAAAUUAGCCAAAUCGGUCCAGCCGUUCUCGAGUUUUAGCGAGACUAACGAACAUCAAUUCAUUUUUAUAUAUAUAGAUUUAUGCCUAAAAAAUUGAGAAGAUAACUUCUGAAUAUAUUUCAUGUUACGUAAUACAGCAAAAUCUGUAGAUGUUUACUUUAUUACUGUGCCGAAACAUGUUUGUAACGUUUUGAGAUUUUGUUUUACAGUUCAUUCAACUUUCAAAUUAGUUAGAUAAGAGAGAACCAAUGAACGUUAAUUGGCAGUUGUAAUUUUAAUUAUAAAUAAUUCUUAAUUCAAUGAGAAUCUGCUUCAACGGUAACAUUAGGGUGGAGUUAAUUUCCAGUUGAGUGAACCAGAUGAGGAUUAUUUCUUGAAAAAUACUCUGAAUGCCGAUAGAUGAACCAACACAACGUACUGCCAACACACUGCCUACCACCUAAAAACAUUAAGUCCAAGUUUUGAUUAAAUAAACCCUCAGACUUCAUGAAGUGAUUGGAUCACAACGUACUUGUGUACAACGUAGUUAGUCAUUUGUAGCUAUCAGAGAAAAUAAGAAAUUCGCAAUAACAUUAAUCGUGUUAACGACUUUUGUAAGAUAAGCUUUUUUAAUUAUUUAUUGCCGCUAUAGGCAGACGAGCAUACGGCUCAUCUGAUGGUGAAUGGUUACCGUCACCCAUGGACUUCAGCAAUGCCAGGGGCAGAGCUAAGCCGCUGCCUACAAUUAAAUACUCUCCACAACCCUCAUUUAAAGAAGAACAUAGCGCUCGGGGAGCACCGCGGAGAGGAGCUCAUUUUAAAGCCGGAUGGUACGUGGCAAAAAAUAUCUCUAGAAACACGCUGUGGAUGAACGCAGUGGCUCCAGGUAGUAUGGCUGAACUCUACUCCGGUGGCGGGUGGUGCGAUGGUAAAAACGAGAUGAUGGAAUCAUCUCAAAAAAUUUCUCAGAUCGCUCCCCAUGGAACAUACGGUAUAGAAUACAGAGAGAAGCAGUCUAUCCGAUGAUUUGCAAGCGAAGUAAAAUGUCCUUUAGAAAUAAGGUGACACUCUACAAAACUUGCAUACGCCCCGUCAUGACCUAUGCAAUUGUAGUGUUUACUCACGCGGCGCGCACCAACUUGAAACCCCUUCAAAUAAUGCAAUCCCGUUUUUGCAGGAUAGCCGCCGGAGCCCCAUGGUACAUCCGAAACGUGGACGACGACAUGGAUUUGCAGUCCAUCAUUAAGGGUUCUACAGUCGCCAUCAGUGCGUCAUUUCGCGAAAGCGGCACGACACGAGAACCCUCUCAUCGUGGCCGCAAUCAAGUUCAAUUCACCCCACUCGGAGACUCGGUCCAGAGAGCUCUCCACUUCGGACACAAGUUUUGAUCGUCUCUCUUGCACCACGCUCUGACAGAGACCCUGAUGGCCGAUAUAUUAUGUGCAAUCUCCAAGAGCUCAAACAAUCGGUCAACCAAUUGGAAGACCUUUCGCUUAAUAUUUGGCUGUAGUAAUCAAGAUUAGAAUUAGGAAAAAAUCUGGAAAAAGCUAAGCUUAGGUAAAUAACAAAGUGAGGAGACUACUGAAGGGUGGUUGUAGCGCAUUCUAGUUGAUUCUUUAUAAAUCUAAUAUUUAUAGAACAAACAUAUCAUUUUUAAUAUUGAAUUUAACUGUAUUUAAUUAUGUAUGUAAUUAUAUGUAAUUAUGUAUGUAUGUAAUUAUAUGCCCAAUAUAGUAAAAGCUGAUAGUAGUCCCGUGAAUAUAUGAUAUUCUGAUUGAUAGCUGACCGUAUCGUUUCGUGUAAGAUCGACUGGGCUAGUCUAUGAAAUCUUCUAAUCUAUGCGAGACAACCUGCUUUCGUAAAAUAAAUACUACAUAUUUACUCGAAUAGGCAUAUAAGAGAAGAAGUUAAAACAGUACUCACACUGUGACUUGCCAGCUCGCUGAGCGAAGUAUAGCUUGGUGGGUGAAUCAACAUCUUGAGCAAUGGACACAACUGACUACAGUAGCACAGAGCGAUAGCGGACUGCGAUAUCAUGCCCGCUAGAAGCGUUUAUAUACUGCACAUAGAUAGUACAGGUGCGAGUUACGGUCUAAUGGAAAUGUUGCUAUUUUAGUAACUAUUCAUUUUCCAGUACUUAUUUGUAAAUAAAAACUUUUUGCACUUAAACUGAACACGAUUUGUAAACAGUAUUUAUAAAUAUUGAAUAAAUUUUCUAGUUGUCAUGCAAGGGUUCCGCGAUAUCAUUAUAAUUGUAUUUUUACUAUAAAUAUUAAACUAGUUCGCGUACCACAAAUUGGAAUAGAUUUAAAAUUAAUCGAACUCACAUACAAGUGUUUAUAUUUAUUUAUUAAGUUGCACCUACAAAGUGAUCAUCAAUACAAAACAUUGAACAAUUGACAAAAGUUCAUGGCAGAUGUCACCUCAAUUAUAGGUGCAAUCGACAGUGCAUUAACAACAAAAAUAAAAAUAUAACUAAGAUUUGAUUACAUUUGAUUGCUUAAGAUUAAUUUAUAUUUAACUGGGAAAUGAUCCGCGAUUUAUAGAAGAUGAAGUAAUAAAAGGUGUGUAACAAAUAACUGAUAACUUCAAACUAAAAGGUUGGAAUUCUGCGUGACUCAAAUUUAAGGGAUGGUAAAACCAAACCAACUGGAUUUACAACAGAAACAACUAUAUGUACUCAACUGCGGGUAAGUACCUAAAGUACAGUUCUGCUGAACAGUGGUUGAAGUCUUCUGAUCAACAGCUGUGCAGGCCAUUGUCAAACUUCAUCUGUUGACCGUACAGGUGUUUUCAUUACUACUGUUCAUAAUUUCACGCUAUAGACCGAGCCAAUCUUCCAAGUACUACAAGAAAUCAAAAUCGAAAAGGUACUUAAGAUGCUCAAUCUGAGCCCUUGUACAUAAAAGUAAGUAAAUUAUACCAGCCCUACUGCCAAGGCUAAAAAUGGUAAACGUAAAGGGUAAGAUCACAAUGAAGAAGCCCCGUUUGUUCAAACCAAUUUCAUUAUCAAUAUCGUAGAAGCCAUGCAUCUCGCAGAGAGCCGACACAGAUGAAAGAGACAAAACCUUCCUCAACGUAGUAAAACAAAAGACACCGCAGCUAGCAAUUAAAACAUACACACUUUAUAUAUGAAGAAUAUAGUCGUAUACAAGUAGCCUUUGAAGAUGUACUGAAUAAGUUGUAUUAUGUUUUGAUAUAAAUACGAUUCGAAUUUCAUCAACAUCCGAUAAACUACAGUUUGUCCGUAUAAUGUACGGCUGGCAGUUGGAACGUGACUCGAGAAGAAUCAGAAAGCUUAAGAGAGAAGCACUCUCCUCGAUAACAAAGAAAUCUGGGCUUGGUUCCUGCAGCGGGCUGUCCAGAAUAUUUAAUUGACGACGCAGCAAAUGUAUGUUGCAAGUACUAGGGCAGCCAAUAUAGGAUUGUAACUUCGAUUCACUUCUAAAUGUACGUAAGGAUAACCCCGUGACGUCUAUGGAGUAUGGAAGCAACUCCCAUUAGAUGGACUCGUAUGCCAAUCUACAGCAAUAAAAAAGGUAAUAUUUUUAUUGGUUAGAUGGAUGGCCUAGCUCGCGGCCGGUGUUAUCAGAGCCCAUGAUCAACAACGUAAUUGCCGCAAGCUUGAGGCAGUCUCAGUGCUAUAGUUCAACGGCUAACCCACCCUUCAAACCAAAGCGUGUUACUGCUUCACGGCAGAAAUAGGAGGGGCGGUGGUACCUACCCGUGCGGACUCACAAGACGGCCUACCACCAGUAAGAAGCCGUUGUAACUAUACCUGAGACCUUAGAACUCAUAUCCCAAGGUGGGUGGUGGCAUUUAUGUUGUAAAUCACUAUGGGCUCCGGUAACUACUUAACACCAGGUGGGCUGUGAGCUCGUCCACACAUCUACGCAAUAAGUAAAUAAAUAAAAAAGUCAAAUCUUACAAAAUUUCUUCUCGUUUAUUUCAUCUACAAUUUAAGAACCUUCAAACAUAUAAUUAUAGACAGAUAAUAUUUAUAAUAAUAUAUCCAUGUACAGACAAUUAAAUGUGAUUUUUUUUUCCGUAACAUCCGAUAUUCACUCACCGAGCGAGUGAUCUCGUGAGGUUAAUUAAUACAAAUGACCUGAUGAAUUUGUUAAGCAUUUAUGGGACGUUCAACCGUUUGUUUAUACAUUAAUAUGUAUGUAUAUAUGAGUAGUGAUAACGAUAUUAAGAAUCAUUGAAAUCAAACUACGUCGCUUAAAUAACAAUACCGUGCAAGUGAAAUAGGUUUUUUAGCUAAAAACUAAACAAAUUUGACUUACGGGGAUCGUCAGCUAAGCUACGGCUUAUGUUCAGUGUUUGCGCUGCGUGUAUCCUAUUGAUUUGAAACUUUAUACAUUUGCUGUUGUUUCUACCAGGUCAUUUACCUCACGAGAGCGUGGUAUAGGAUAUUUGUUGUUUUGUCACAGCAUUCAUAGCUUUAUAUGUUUUGUCUUCCAGCCCUAAAUACCUGUGGGCUAUUUGCUUACUUAUGGUCUCCACUAGGCAUAAUUGACCUAGCUUGAAGAUCGUUAAUGUUAUGUCAUCCUUUGACAAUUUUUUUUGAUUGGACUUCUAUCAAAUGUAAAUUAAUAAUUUUAGAGAUUAAUUAAAUAAUUAUAUCAUAAUCACUAAAAAUUAUAUAUCAUUUUAAACUCAUUCUCAUCCACACCAUCUAAAAAAACUCAUUACUGAUACUAGAACUCAUCAGUGACUAAAAAACAAAAGUGAGAAAAUUAGUUGAUAAACAGAAGAUUUUUUUUAAUUAAUUGUUAUACCUUUGUUUAUUAUCAAUCAAUAGAACGCAAGAAUUAUGGCUUAUGGAGAAAUAUUAAAAACUAUAAAUUACCCAUAUAUUUGAUCUAGAUCAGCUGUAUAAAUAAAUUACAUUACUUAGAUUAUACCAAAACAUGAUAAAACAUGAAGACUAGUAGGUACAGAAGCGCAUCGUACUGUAUAUCUCUCUAAGAAACUGGAACACCUUUACGAUCCUGUUAAAAAGGCUUAAGAACAAUUACAACAAUAUACUUUAUUACAAUAAAAUUGAGAUUUCAGACUUAUGCAUCUGUAUAUUAGUUAUAACAGUCAAGUUUGUACUUUAAAGAACCUAAAUUAAAUAAACUGUCUAAGAAUAUA
This is a long non-coding RNA of Bombyx mori (domestic silkworm), 5394 nucleotides long. RefSeq lists it as uncharacterized. The record is from RefSeq and is a predicted model, not a curated record. The transcript is spliced from 2 exons. NCBI's taxonomy places the organism in Eukaryota, Metazoa, Arthropoda, Insecta, Lepidoptera, Bombycidae.